RNAcentral lists this long non-coding RNA (2192 nucleotides) under Taeniopygia guttata (zebra finch). Its description in RNAcentral is "lncRNA (ENSTGUG00000021386.1)". Lineage: Eukaryota; Metazoa; Chordata; Aves; Passeriformes; Estrildidae. The record is from RNAcentral.
GGCAAUAUUUUCUCAUCUGCCCUUUAAUGCAAAUUAGAUGGUUGAAGAGGCGCUUCCAAGUAUCUACUCAGAUACACACAAUGACUGAUUCUGGAAGAAAGUGCAGGUCCAGAGUAUGAAAUGAAAACACAGCUAACACCAAGUUAGGAUCAUGGAAUAAUUAAGCCUGCAAAAGACUACCAAAAUCAUCAAGUACAGUCUUUGAACACCACCAUAUCAACCAAAUCGUGGCACUACGUACUAUGCCACUUCCCUAGGCAGUUCAUUCCAAUAUUUUUAAACCUUUCAGUAAAGAAAUUUUUGUGAUGAAGAAUUCACCUUCAGAAGAUUUUACCUUUCCUUUUGAGGAUCUCAGAAAUGUCAUAUUUACCUAAGGCUCACAGCAUCCAGUGUGGUACCAUUCCAUUUUAUAGAAGGGUAAAUAUGCUGGCAACAUGACUAGCAAAAGGCACAGGGGACAGAACUUCUCUAGCCCUCACACAUAGCCAAAGCUGCAGCAAAGUCACCCAGUGCAUUGUGGAGACGUAACCUGAAGUCAGGAAUUUCUGGGGGAAGUGCUUACUCUUUUCAUUGCUGUGUGUUCUACUUUGACUCUUCCUUGUUCCCAUUCAUAACAGGUUGGGGCCAGAACCGCAGCGUGAUGCCUGCAAAUGGAUUCUUGUGUGCCUGCCUUUAAUAUGGCCUGGGGGAGAUGGAUCCUAGCUUUUCUUCAGAUCCCAGAUAAUCCUGUGAUGCAGAAAAGAGGAGUAUGCCGACAAGUAUUCCUGGGAGUCUGUAAGCUUCUGAGGUGUUUUCAGCAAAAAGUGCAUGUUCACCUUCUGUGUUAUGAGAAUUUUUUUCAAAGACUAAUUUUUUCAAAGAUAAAUUUGCUGGAUCUAGAUGACAAGUGACUGAACAGACUUUUUAAAGAAAAUGACAGAUUAAAGUUACAUAUAAUCUUAAACUGCAGGUGUUCUACUGUUGAUGAUGACACAGUAGAGGAACAGAAGAAGGAGAGGAAUGAAAAGGAACAGAGGAGAGAAAAGGUUCAUCGACAGAGUGGAAGAUGGGCUGAUGGGGCAAUUUGCAUUAUUUAUAAGGGCUGCUGGUCAGCAGCAAAAUAAACACUUCCAGCUCUUCUCAAUAAAUAUUUUUUUUUUACAAUGCAACAGAAAAAAAAAAAAAGUAAAUUUUACUAUUUCGCUCACAGUUACUGAUUUGAACAUCAUUUUAUAGUACUAUGUGGAACAAAUUUUGAAACAACUACUGCUUUGUUUCUAGCUCAGUGCUAAGAUGACUUCAUUCAGUAUCACAAAAUUCAGGUUUAUUUCUGCUGCUGAUCAGUGAUAACAUGCAUGAGUAAACCAAGAGUUGUCACUUCCGCCUGCCACUUUACCUUCAUUUUUUUGAUAAAUCCGAAGAGCUGUAGAUAAAUGACUUUGAUACCAUCUGUACUUGCAAUUAGUACCAAAGUUACAAAUAUGUUCAUGUGGAUGUAAUUGAGGGCAAAACUUGAGGCUGCUAGAUUUCAAUUCACUGUACAAACACAAUUUCUUCCAGUUAUUUGACACCUUUUAAACUUUAUGUCUUUAAUGAGAGAAACUGAAAAUGAGAAAACUCCUUAAUGAGGGAAAUUGAAAUGGAGAUGGCUCCACAGCCUCAAAGUAAGCCAUAAAAGGAGGCUAGACUGUUUUGUUUUUCUACUAACUCACUGGAUCAAAUCCUAUCUCCUUAAAUCAGUUCCCUACCUCCCAUUUCUUUAUUGGAAACACAAUUUGUUCUUUAUUCGCCUGAAAUUUCCAUUGCUUAGGAAAAGGGCUCUGAAGGUCACGAGACUGCUUAUGUUUAACAAAAGACAAAAUGUGGCUUACAAGUCUUUGUUUUAUUUGCUUAAAGAACAUUUUUUAUUUUGUUUAAAUGUUUCACUGUUAAUUUGGGCACAGGGAGAUGCUGUAAGUAGUGUUCAUUAAACCUAGGAAUGAAUUUAGGGGCAUGGGAUCAGGUCUUCUAUUCCUCACUCUCUAAGUAAGCUUUUUGAAAUUAGUGAGAACACUACCCUUGUUCUGUCCAGAUGGUUAUUGAAUUAUGAACAUUAUUUAGUAGAAGAUACAACUGAUGGCAAUUUAGAAGCAUAUGAAGUUAACAUGAGAUAUUCAGGCUGCAAUCCAAAGUGGAACAGAUGGAUCUGGAAUUGGUUAAUGCUAGAUCAAGGA